This 498-nucleotide ribosomal RNA is filed under the name uncultured bacterium. Its description in RNAcentral is "partial 16S ribosomal RNA". It matches the Rfam family "Bacterial small subunit ribosomal RNA", at positions 28 to 507 of the family's 1533-position model. The record is from RNAcentral.
GACGAACGCUGGCGGCGUGCCUAAUACAUGCAAGUCGAACGAGAGCGACCGGUGCUUGCACUGGUCAAUCUAGUGGCGAACGGGUGAGUAACACGUGGGUAACCUGCCCAUCAGAGGGGGAUAACAUCCGGAAACGGAUGCUAAAACCGCAUAGGUCUUCGAGCCGCAUGGCUUGAAGAGGAAAAGAGGCGCAAGCUUCUGCUGAUGGAUGGACCCGCGGUGCAUUAGCUAGUUGGUGAGGUAACGGCUCACCAAGGCCGUGAUGCAUAGCCGACCUGAGAGGGUGAUCGGCCACAUUGGGACUGAGACACGGCCCAAACUCCUACGGGAGGCAGCAGUAGGGAAUCUUCCGCAAUGGACGCAAGUCUGACGGAGCAACGCCGCGUGAGUGAAGAAGGUUUUCGGAUCGUAAAACUCUGUUGUUAGAGAAGAACAAGUGCUAGAGUAACUGUUAGUGCCUUGACGGUAUCUAACCAGAAAGCCACGGCUAACUACGUG